RNAcentral lists this ribosomal RNA (449 nucleotides) under uncultured bacterium. RNAcentral's name for it is "partial 16S ribosomal RNA". It matches the Rfam family "Bacterial small subunit ribosomal RNA", at positions 29 to 523 of the family's 1533-position model. The record is from RNAcentral.
AACGAACGCUGGCGGCAGGCCUAACACAUGCAAGUCGAGCGAAGCCUUCGGGCUUAGCGGCGGACGGGUGAGUAACGCGUGGGAACGUGCCCUUUGCUACGGAAUAGCCCCGGGAAACUGGGAGUAAUACCGUAUGUGCCCUUCGGGGGAAAGAUUUAUCGGCAAAGGAUCGGCCCGCGUUGGAUUAGGUGGUUGGUGGGGUAAUGGCCUACCAAGCCGACGAUCCAUAGCUGGUUUGAGAGGAUGAUCAGCCACACUGGGACUGAGACACGGCCCAGACUCCUACGGGAGGCAGCAGUGGGGAAUCUUAGACAAUGGGCGCAAGCCUGAUCUAGCCAUGCCGCGUGAUCGAUGAAGGCCUUAGGGUUGUAAAGAUCUUUCAGGUGGGAAGAUAAUGACUGUACCACCAGAAGAAGCCCCGGCUAACUCCGUGCCAGCCGCCGCCGUAA